RNAcentral lists this ribosomal RNA (306 nucleotides) under uncultured bacterium. Its description in RNAcentral is "partial 16S ribosomal RNA". It matches the Rfam family "Bacterial small subunit ribosomal RNA", at positions 507 to 809 of the family's 1533-position model. The record is from RNAcentral.
GACAGCAGCAGCCACGGUAAUACGUAGGUGGCAAGCGUUGUCCGGAAUUAUUGGGCGUAAAGCGCGCGCAGGCGGAUCAGUUAGUCUGUCUUAAAAGUUCGGGGCUUAACCCCGUGAUGGGAUGGAAACUGCUGAUCUAGAGUAUCGGAGAGGAAAGUGGAAUUCCUAGUGUAGCGGUGAAAUGCGUAGAUAUUAGGAAGAACACCAGUGGCGAAGGCGACUUUCUGGACGAAAACUGACGCUGAGGCGCGAAAGCCAGGGGAGCGAACGGGAUUAGAUACCCCCGUAGUCCCUGUCUCUUAUACA